Molecule: ribosomal RNA, 497 nt
Filed under: uncultured bacterium
Lineage: Bacteria
Description: partial 16S ribosomal RNA
Rfam family: Bacterial small subunit ribosomal RNA
Source: RNAcentral
GAUGAACGCUGGCGGCGUGCCUAAUACAUGCAAGUCGAGCGAACAGACGAGGAGCUUGCUCCUUUGACGUUAGCGGCGGACGGGUGAGUAACACGUGGGUAACCUACCUAUAAGACUGGGAUAACUUCGGGAAACCGGAGCUAAUACCGGAUAAUAUUUCGAACCGCAUGGUUCGAUAGUGAAAGAUGGCUUUGCUAUCACUUAUAGAUGGACCUGCGCCGUAUUAGCUAGUUGGUAAGGUAACGGCUUACCAAGGCAACGAUACGUAGCCGACCUGUGAGAGUGAUCGGCCACACUGGAACUGAGACACGGUCCAGACUCCUACGGGAGGCAGCAGUAGGGAAUCUUCCGCAAUGGGCGAAAGCCUGACGGAGCAACGCCGCGUGAGUGAUGAAAGUCUUCGGAUCGUAAAACUCUGUUAUUAGGGAAGAACAAACGUGUAAGUAACUGUGCACGUCUUGACGGUACCUAGUCAGAAAGCCACGGCUAACUACGUG